CCUACGGGAGGCAGCAGUGGGGAAUAUUGCGCAAUGGGCGAAAGCCUGACGCAGCGACGCCGCGUGAGGGAUGAAGGUCUUCGGAUUGUAAACCUCUGUCAGCAGGGAAGAACGGUCACUGUGCUAAUCAGCAGUGAAUUGACGGUACCUGCAAAGGAAGCACCGGCCAACUCCGUGCCAGCAGCCGCGGUAAUACGGAGGGUGGGGGCGUUAAUCGGAAUUACUGGGCGUAAAGCGCUCGUAGGCGGUAUGUCAAGUCAAGGGUGAAAUCCCCGCGCUCAACGUGGGAACUGCCUUUGAAACUGGCAGACUGGAGUGUGUGAGGGGAUAGUGGAAUUCGAGGUGUAGGGGUGAAAUCCGUAGAUAUCUGGAGGAACAUCAGUGGCGAAGGCGACUAUCUGGCACAUAACUGACGCUGAGGAGCGAAAGCGUGGGUAGCAAACAGGAUUAGAUACCCCAGUAGUC
RNAcentral lists this ribosomal RNA (465 nucleotides) under uncultured bacterium. RNAcentral's name for it is "partial 16S ribosomal RNA". It matches the Rfam family "Bacterial small subunit ribosomal RNA", at positions 338 to 795 of the family's 1533-position model. The record is from RNAcentral.